This 279-nucleotide ribosomal RNA is filed under the name uncultured bacterium. RNAcentral describes it as "partial 16S ribosomal RNA". It matches the Rfam family "Bacterial small subunit ribosomal RNA", at positions 506 to 784 of the family's 1533-position model. The record is from RNAcentral.
UGCCAGCAGCCGCGGUAAUACAGAGGGAGUAAGCGUUGUUCGGAUUUACUGGGCGUAAAGCGCGCGUAGGUUGUUUUGUUAGUCAGAAGUGAAAUCUCCGGGCUCAACUCGGAAAUUGCUUUUGAAACUGCAAGACUAGAGACCGGCAGAGGAUGGCGGAAUUCCCCAUGUAGAGGUGAAAUUCGUAGAUAUGGGGAGGAACACCAGAGGCGAAGGCGGCCAUCUGGACCGGUACUGACACUGAGGCGCGAAAACGUGGGGAGCAAACAGGAUUAGAUA